This 264-nucleotide long non-coding RNA is filed under the name Lathyrus oleraceus (garden pea). RNAcentral's name for it is "Pisum sativum (pea) long non-coding RNA (PSAT_LNC016023)". Lineage: Eukaryota; Viridiplantae; Streptophyta; Magnoliopsida; Fabales; Fabaceae. The record is from RNAcentral.
UUUUUCCUUUAAAAAAUACUUAUCUCUGCCCAAGGCUAAUGGAUCAUGUUGUAGGGCCCCUUUUCAUUUUCAAAUAAUCAUUAUCAGUGAAUAAAAUACAUUUUAUUAAAUUCUUAUUAUUCAUUUGUUUGCGUUCUUUUCAGAAAAUGGCAAUAUUUUCAACAAAAAAAAAACUUGUUUCCAUUUGUGCAUCUUUUAUUUUUACUUUUCUAAAAAAAAAUCAUUCUAACAUGCAGAAUAACUGAUAAAUCCAUUGAAUCUAAU